Hibiscus syriacus is the source of this 104-nucleotide long non-coding RNA. RefSeq lists it as uncharacterized. The transcript is spliced from 3 exons. The record is from RefSeq and is a predicted model, not a curated record. Lineage: Eukaryota; Viridiplantae; Streptophyta; Magnoliopsida; Malvales; Malvaceae.
AAAAGAAAACAAAAUUGCUUGUGAAAUACGUUUAAAUGAGGAGACUUUCAAGGCAUUUACCUUUCCGGGGAGCUGAAGAAAGAAGAGAGAACUCAACUAAGAGA